RNAcentral lists this unclassified non-coding RNA (324 nucleotides) under soil metagenome. Its description in RNAcentral is "partial contains 5.8S ribosomal RNA, internal transcribed spacer 2, and large subunit ribosomal RNA". The stretch from base 2 to 120 matches the Rfam family "5.8S ribosomal RNA", at positions 36 to 154 of the family's 154-position model. The record is from RNAcentral.
UAUGAAGAACGUAGCGAAAUGCGAUAAGUAAUGCGAAUUGCAGAAUUCAGUGAGUCAUCGAAUCUUUGAACGCACAUUGCGCCCUGUGGUAUUCCGCAGGGCAUGCCUGUUCGAGCGUCAUUUCAACCCUCAAGCCUCGCUUGGUGUUGGGCCCUGCCCGCCGCGGCCGGCCCUAAAGAUAGUGGCGGCGCCGCCUGGCCCUCAGCGUAGUACAGCUCUCGCUCCAGGGUCCGGCGGCAGCCUGCCAGAACCCCCCAACUCUGUGGUUGACCUCGGAUCAGGUAGGGAUACCCGCUGAACUUAAGCAUAUCAAUAAGCGGAGGA